Molecule: long non-coding RNA, 259 nt
Filed under: Anser brachyrhynchus (Pink-footed goose)
Lineage: Eukaryota; Metazoa; Chordata; Aves; Anseriformes; Anatidae
Description: lncRNA (ENSABRG00000020959.1)
Source: RNAcentral
AUGCCAAGGGGUGGAAUGAUGGGAGCAGUCAUAAAGGAUACAUCACUCAAGACAAGCAGGAGAACUUCUAGACAGUAUCAACUUCUUAGCAAACUAAAGAGCGGGUCAACUAAAGGAAUGGCUCAUCACUAUGCAUGCAAAAAGGAACAGAGCUCAGAAGGAAAGUCAUCAGACAUCCGUGGCACAGUUAUAAAGGGAGAAGUUGGAAGGAAGUUGUGAGCACUAAGCCAGACCAUAAAUAAAUGUCAAAGGAAAACCA